GGGAGUUUAGCUCAGCUGGGAGAGCAUCUGCCUUACAAGCAGAGGGUCGCGUGUUCAAGUCAUGUAGCCGGCA
This 73-nucleotide transfer RNA is filed under the name Streptococcus agalactiae. Its description in RNAcentral is "tRNA-Val". The stretch from base 5 to 68 matches the Rfam family "tRNA", at positions 5 to 66 of the family's 71-position model. Rfam says of the family: Transfer RNA (tRNA) molecules are approximately 80 nucleotides in length. Their secondary structure includes four short double-helical elements and three loops (D, anti-codon, and T loops). Lineage: Bacteria; Bacillati; Bacillota; Bacilli; Lactobacillales; Streptococcaceae. The record is from RNAcentral.